Centrocercus urophasianus (Greater sage-grouse) is the source of this 1509-nucleotide long non-coding RNA. RefSeq lists it as uncharacterized. NCBI's taxonomy places the organism in Eukaryota, Metazoa, Chordata, Aves, Galliformes, Phasianidae. The transcript has 3 exons. The record is from RefSeq and is a predicted model, not a curated record.
GUUACCAGCUGCAGUUGUCCCUGCUCUCAUCCCCUGCGAUCCUCCUGUUGCUGAGGUCUCCAAGGUAAAGAUUAAGAUGAUGGAGUUCUUGCGGAUGUCUACUCCACAGAAGAGUGCUGCAGAGAAGAUACUGGCAAAUAACCUUUUCCUUCUGUGAUUUUCUCUUUCUUCUUGCCUCCAGCAAAAUAGCAAAGGCCCAAAGUGAUGAUCGCGUAAAGAAGUAAACCAAGCAGAAGCGAAGAUGGCUGCAAUCAACAGGUUUUCCCGCAGUGCAAGAGACUAUACGUUUCACAAAGGGCAAUAAGGAGAGUAUACGCUGAAGGAGUGGAUUUCAACUUUUGAAAGCAGGAAGAAUUAAGAAAAAUCACCCACAUACAACUGUAGUAGUCCUAAUGGUAGCCUAAACCCCUGCAAACUGAUGAAAGAACAGGGUCUAUCUUCCUCUAUCUAUCCUCUGGCUAGAAGAGAAUACUCAAUGAGGCUGGACAGAGAAUAAAUGAAUGAGAAAAUAUUUAGUAUACUUAUUUAAUUAGUGCCUUCUGCUUCCAGCGGUCACGUGGCAGAAUAAGAGACUAACCAGAACAAGGUAGCUACCUAUAGAAUAAUCAAACUUUCAGCAGCGGAGAGAAAGACAUCAGUCUGCUCAGACUGGCAUAGCAGAGAAAUGCAGUCAACACCAAACUUCCACUGCUGGAAACAUGCUGCUUCUUUAAUGCAUUUGAUAAAGCACUUACUAAAAAAAGCUGAAAUAAAAAUCAAGCAUGAUCAUAGAAUGUUUUUGGUUCAGAAGGGACCUCAAAGAUCAUACAGAUCCAACCCCCCUGCCAGAGGCAGGGUUGCCAACUGCUAGAAUAUGAAGAAUGAAUUUUCAAUGCAUCCAAAGACUUGGUAGAACAUGCCUCCUGGUUAUGAUUUGUCACUUGAAAAUGGCUUUUAUUGGUCGUUCUAUACCUUAGAUGAUAAUAAGGUACCCAAAGACACUCAGUGGCACUUAAUACAUGUACAAAUGCCUUCAGUUUUACUAAAAGGCUAAGUACAACUGAGGAACAGCAUUAACUAAAUUUAAUAAAAACACUUUUUUUUUGGCAAAACAACUAUUUUGAUUGGGGCAAAAUGCAUAUGCAUACUGGGGAUACUCAUUCCCAGGUGAAGUGUAAUGCUAUUGUAACCCUGUGUCUAUAGAAUUAAAAUCAGGAUACUUGUAUAAAUUGAAUUUUUAAUGGCUAUUUGAUCUCUUCAAAGAUUCCCACCUUCUUCACUGAGAUGUCUCUUUUUGUGUCAAAUCUCCAAACAACUUCAAUGUCUGUCUGCAGCACAGAUCACAGAAUUUUCCCUUACACUUAUUUAAGUUCUGCUUGACCUCCAUACCUGUGAGGUAUGGCACAAACAUUGUUUUAAGAGCAUCUUGUUCAUUUAACAGCCUAACCUGCGGUACAAUUAAUACACACAAUAUAGAUCGGUAUCAUAUUUUGUAAGAAGCUGCUCCAGCUGAAGCUGAUAAAUACCCAG